This 368-nucleotide unclassified non-coding RNA is filed under the name fungal sp. Its description in RNAcentral is "partial internal transcribed spacer region". The stretch from base 1 to 46 matches the Rfam family "Eukaryotic small subunit ribosomal RNA", at positions 1786 to 1831 of the family's 1831-position model. The record is from RNAcentral. Lineage: Eukaryota; Fungi.
AAGUCGUAACAAGGUUUCCGUAGGUGAACCUGCGGAAGGAUCAUUAACACGUAUCCAACGUUAAAACAACCCCCGUGAACUUUCAGCUUGCUCCUGUAGCCCGUGAAAACAGCAAUCCCUGGUAAAUCAUUGUUGACCAGCUUUUGAGUCAGGGACCUCUGCCGAUUGUGAUAUUUUAUAGCUACGGUUGAGCGAUUGCAUCUAGUGACCUGGCAUCCCCAAGUAAUCAGUGUCUGAAAGUGUCAUUGAUUAUGUAAGGAUGGCGCAGUCACUGCCCCUUUACGACAACACAGUACGAAUUGGCCGCGCGUGAAAUUCGCACGGCACCAAAAACCGAACAACUGUUAACAAUGGAUAUCUUGGUUCUC